This 1701-nucleotide ribosomal RNA is filed under the name hot springs metagenome. RNAcentral's name for it is "bacterial LSU rRNA". It matches the Rfam family "Bacterial large subunit ribosomal RNA", at positions 591 to 2155 of the family's 2925-position model. The record is from RNAcentral.
GGGUGACAGCGUGCCUUUUGAAGAAUGAGCCUGCGAGUUAGCGAUACGUGGCGAGGUUAACCCGUGUGGGGUAGCCGUAGCGAAAGCGAGUCUGAAUAGGGCGAUUCAGUCGCGUGUCCUAGACCCGAAGCGAAGUGAUCUAUCCAUGGCCAGGUUGAAGCGACGGUAAGACGUCGUGGAGGACCGAACCCACUUAGGUUGAAAACUGAGGGGAUGAGCUGUGGAUAGGGGUGAAAGGCCAAUCAAACUCCGUGAUAGCUGGUUCUCUCCGAAAUGCAUUUAGGUGCAGCGUUGCGUGUUUCUUGCCGGAGGUAGAGCUACUGGAUGGCCGAUGGGCCCUACAAGGUUACUGACGUCAGCCAAACUCCGAAUGCCGGUAAGUGAGAGCGCAGCAGUGAGACUGUGGGGGAUAAGCUUCAUAGUCGAGAGGGAAACAGCCCAGACCACCGGUUAAGGCCCCUAAGCGUGUGCUAAGUGGGAAAGGAUGUGGAGUUGCUUAGACAACCAGGAGGUUGGCUUAGAAGCAGCCACCCUUGAAAGAGUGCGUAAUAGCUCACUGGUCAAGUGAUUCCGCGCCGACAAUGUAACGGGGCUCAAGCACGCCACCGAAGUUGUGGCAUUGACAUUAUUGGUAGGCCUUCGUGGUCCAGCCGUGUUGAUGGGUAGGAGAGCGUCGUGUGGCCAGCGAAGCGGCGGUGUAAACCAGCCGUGGAGGCCACACGAGUGAGAAUGCAGGCAUGAGUAGCGAAAGACGUGUGAGAAACACGUCCUCCGAAAGACCAAGGGUUCCAGGGUCAAGCUAAUCUUCCCUGGGUAAGUCGGGACCUAAGGCGAGGCCGACAGGCGUAGUCGAUGGACAACGGGUUGAUAUUCCCGUACCGGCGAAGAACCGCCCCAAUCAAUCCAGUGGUGCUAAGCGCCCAAAGCCAGACAUCGCCGCCUUCGGGUGGCACCGUCUGGUGGAGCGCGCGACCCCAUGCUGGUGCGGUUAGCGUAUUAACAGGUGUGACGCAGGAAGGUAGCCCAGCCAGGCGAUGGUUGUCCUGGUGCAAGUGCGUAGGCCGAGCGAUAGGCAAAUCCGUCGCUCACAUAGGCUGAGACACGAUGCGGAUGAAAAGUGGGUGAUCCUAUGCUGCCAAGAAAAGCAUCGACGCGAGGUUCUAGCCGCCCGUACCCCAAACCGACACAGGUGGUCAGGUAGAGAAUACUAAGGCGAUCGAGAGAAUCACGGUUAAGGAACUCGGCAAAAUGCCCCCGUAACUUCGGGAGAAGGGGGACCACCCUGGUGAGCGGUCUUUUCGACUGUGAGCUGGUGGUGGUCGCAGAGACCAGGGGGAAGCGACUGUUUACUAAAAACACAGGUCCGUGCGAAGUCGUAAGACGAUGUAUACGGACUGACUCCUGCCCGGUGCCGGAAGGUUAAGAGGACCUGUUAGGGCCUUGGCCCGAAGCGGAGAAUUUAAGCCCCAGUAAACGGCGGUGGUAACUAUAACCAUCCUAAGGUAGCGAAAUUCCUUGUCGGGUAAGUUCCGACCUGCACGAAUGGAGUAACGAGACCCCCGCUGUCUCAACCGUGAACUCGGCGAAAUUGCACUACGAGUAAAGAUGCUCGUUACGCGCAGCAGGACGGAAAGACCCCGAGACCUUUACUAUAGCUUGGUAUUGGUGUUUGACAUCACUUGUGUAGGAUAGGUGGGAGAC